RNAcentral lists this ribosomal RNA (763 nucleotides) under uncultured Planctomycetota bacterium. RNAcentral's name for it is "bacterial SSU rRNA". It matches the Rfam family "Bacterial small subunit ribosomal RNA", at positions 8 to 800 of the family's 1533-position model. The record is from RNAcentral. Lineage: Bacteria; Pseudomonadati; Planctomycetota.
AGAGUUUGAUCCUGGCUCAGAAUGAACGUUGGCGGCGUGGAUUAGGCAUGCAAGUCGAGCGAGAACCCCGCAAGGGGGGAAAGCGGCGAAAGGGAGAGUAACGCGUGGAUAUCUACCCUCAGACCUGGGAUAGCUGCGGGAAACUGCAGGUAAUACCAGAUAAUGUCUCCGGACCAAAGGUGUGAUUCCGUCUGAGGAUGAGUCCGCGUCCUAUUAGCUUGUUGGUGAGGUAAUGGCUUACCAAGGCGAUGAUGGGUACUGGGUGUGAGAGCACGACCCGGCUCACUGGGACUGAGACACUGCCCAGACACCUACGGGUGGCUGCAGUCGAGGAUCUUCGGCAAUGGGCGCAAGCCUGACCGAGCGACGCCGCGUGGAGGACGAAGGCCUUCGGGUUGUAAACUCCUGUCGAGGGGGAGGAAGGGGUAACCUUGGCCGAUCCCUGGAGGAAGCACGGGCUAAGUUCGUGCCAGCAGCCGCGGUAAGACGAACCGUGCGAACGUUAUUCGGAAUCACUGGGCUUAAAGCGCGUGUAGGCGGGCCGGCGCGUCGGUGCCUGAAAGCCCCCGGCUCAACCGGGGAACUGGGGCCGAUACGGCCGGCCUGGAGGGACGUAGGGGGACCUGGAACUUCCGGUGGAGCGGUGAAAUGCGUUGAGAUCGGAAGGAACGCCCGUGGCGAAAGCGAGGUCCUGGACGUCUGCUGACGCUGAGACGCGAAAGCCAGGGGAGCGAACGGGAUUAGAUACCCCGGUAGUCCUGGC